AUCUGGAGAGCGGUGCAGCGGGCGAGCCCGUGGGCACCCGCCGAAGGGGACGUCCGCGAAAAGCCUCGCCAGGGCCGGUCGCGGAUCAAGCUCUCAGGCACCGGGACAGAU
RNAcentral lists this non-coding RNA (111 nucleotides) under Methylobacterium radiotolerans. RNAcentral describes it as "Glycine sequence". It matches the Rfam family "Glycine riboswitch aptamer", at positions 9 to 86 of the family's 94-position model. From Rfam's summary of the family: This family represents the bacterial glycine riboswitch. The record is from RNAcentral. Lineage: Bacteria; Pseudomonadati; Pseudomonadota; Alphaproteobacteria; Hyphomicrobiales; Methylobacteriaceae.